RNA transcript from Prosopis cineraria, 3720 nucleotides. RefSeq lists it as uncharacterized. The record is from RefSeq and is a predicted model, not a curated record. NCBI's taxonomy places the organism in Eukaryota, Viridiplantae, Streptophyta, Magnoliopsida, Fabales, Fabaceae. The transcript has 3 exons.
AACAGAAUAUAAGAUAAAUAAAUUUACAUUAAUAAUUUUGUAGAAAUUGAAAUUCCUUAAGAAAAAUAAUGUUAUGUAUAUUAUAUUUGUGACGGGACAUCUAAGCUAGCCUUGAGUCCUGCCCUAUCCUGCAAAGCCCCAUUUCAUUUUUUUGGGCUGAGAUAGACUCGUUUCAAUAUGAACGGGAUAGUGUCGGGCCGGCUCGGGACAAACGUGAACACUUAAUGACAUCAUUAUGUUAGUUCAGUGAAAUAGUCAUUGUUUAUUUGUUUCUUGAGAAUUCCUGCUUUUUCUUGCAUUCUCAUUAUCUAGUUUUAGUUAUCAUCUCUCUGCAUUGGCCGUUAUAUCAUAGCACUUAAUUGUAGAAAUUAGGAAUAACUAAUUAGUACAACUCAGUUUUUUUAAAGAAUAAACCUUAUUCUGUAGUUAAUUACAAUUAAUUCUUUCUUGCAAGACAGUAUCAAUUUGUUUACUUCUUUCUUCUGUUCGAUUCAAAAAAUAUUGCCAAAGUUAUCAUCACUUCACAUUACAGCAUUAAUAGAUGGAAGGGAUUAGGAGUUGCAUUGCGACCAAGCUUGCAGGGUGUCUAUGGUAUCCAAUUUCAUGUGGUGCUCGUUAUUUGUUCUUCUUCAACCAAUUCAUUGGGCAUUUUAAGAAAGCAAGAGAAGACCUGGAGGUGAAACUAGCAGACAUGGAAAAGCGUAAGGAAGAAGCUAAUCGAAAAAUUGAAGAGAUAAUGCCAUCCGUGAAGAAGUGGUUGCAUGACGUUCAAGCUAUCUUAGAGGCAGGUGCAAAAGCUGCAACAUGAGCUUGAAGCAGGAGGAGCAAACAAGUGUUUGAACAUGCCACAUAGGUAUUCUUUAGCUAAAAAAAUGGAUGAUCUGGCUAAACAGAUGAAGGAGCUCGAAACACAUUCCAACUUUGAGCCAUUUUCCCUGCCGAUCCUACUUUCAGGCAUGCCUGAAUUUUCUUCCAAGGGUUUCGUGGAAUUCAACUCAAGGAAAUCAGCAUACAAUGGUCUUCUAGAGGCCAUUAAAGAUGGCAAGAACAAGAUGGUUGGGCUUUAUGGAAUCGAGGGCUCAGGUAAAACCACCUUGGCUAAAAAAGUAGGUCUCAAGAUCACAGAAUUAAAGCUUUUUGACAAUGUUGUCAUGGCAGUUGUUUCAAAACCUCCCAAUCUGCUGAAAAUUCGACAGGACAUAGCAGAGUAAAUUGGUUUAGAAUUAAAGGAGCAGCUGUAGUCUCAAAGAGUAGAAAAGUUAUCUCAUGCAUUAAAAAAUAAGAAGACUCUAAUAAUCUUGGAUGACAUCUAGAGCAAACUAAGCCUUGAAGAAAUUGGCAUUCCACUUAAUGAAGGUUGUUGUGUCUUGUUAACCACUCGCCUUCAUGAGGUAUGUGUCUUUAUGGAUUGUGAGAGUAUAACUAAACUACCUCUCUUAAAAGAGGAAGAGGCAUGGACUUUGUUCAGGAUUUGUGCUAACAUAAUCAAUGUCUUGAAUGAUGACUUUGAUGGCAUUGGAAGGAAGAUUGUUGAUGAGUGUAAGGCUCUGCCUAUAGCAACUGUGAUUGUGGGAAGCAUGGUAAAAGGAAAGAGUCUUCAAGUGUGGAAGUCAACUCUACUAAGGCUACAACAUCCCAUAUAUCUAGAUAUUGAAGAAGAUUUGAGGAGCCUUUAUGCAGUGCUUGAACCAAGUUAUAACAAUUUGUCGAGUCAACUAGCCAAGUCCUUCUUCUUAUUGUGCUCUAUGUUUCCUAAGGAUCCAUGUAGACGAUUUAAUUCAUUUUGGCAUAGAGACUCUUGAGCUAAGUGAUAAUAUUGAUAUGAUGGAGGAUGCCAGGAAUGAGAUUUUAGUCAUUAUUGAGAGGUUGUUAGAUUCUUAUUUGUUAAUGCCUACCAAUCAGCAGGCUCAUGUAAAAUUGCACAAUGUAGUUUGAGAUGUAGCCUUAUGGAUUGCAAAGAAAACUUCUCAAGUAGUUCUGGUCAAUAGAAGUAUUGUUUCAAGCAUGUUAGAUAAACAUCAAAGUUUGAAAGAUACAAAGGCAUUGUCAUUGUGGAAUUUGGAUGAGAAUUUCAAGCUUUCUAAUCAAUUGCAUUCUCCAACACUUGAUAUUUUGCUACUUCAUCCUCAAGGGUUCAUUGAUCAUCUUGGAGGGACAGAAGCACUAAAAGUCUUAGCCCUUAUAACAUUUAGCUUUAAAUGGAUGUCUUAGGAUUCUUGGAAGGAAAAAAAUUAAAUGUUCAGUUCUACAAUCAAUUGUGUCAUUAACAAAUUUUCACACAUUAUCCCUUAGGGGAAAAAUAUUGGGUGACAUUUCUUUCUUAGGUGAACUUAAAAGAUUGGAGAUUUUUGACUUGUGUAGUUCUGAAUUUGAUGAACUACCUGCUGGAAUUAUACAAAUGAAAAAGUUAAAACUUUUAGAUGUGUUUGAUUGUAAAGUCAAGAAAUGCUCUUUAGAAUUAAUUAGAAGAUGUGAGCAGCUUCAAGAAUUAUACUUUUGGGAUAAUGAAUCUACCAUCCUAGCAAGUUUCCCUCUUUCAGGAUUGAAUAGGUAUGUUAUUGAUGACUCCAAAUGUAGUUUAAGUAUAUAUCAACGUCCUUUUCUAGAAUAUUUUGAUGGUUGUAUUGAAGCCUUAAGAGCUUUAUGUAUAUAAGGCUUCAAAGUCCAUGCUCUAGGUUCGUCAAUGAAAGACCUCAUUCUUAGAGCAAACUAUCUUUGGUUGGAGAAUUGUAUGUGGGAUCAUAAAGAUCUAAAUUUAGAGAUAAAGCACUUAGUGGUUUUACACUACCCAAAGAAAAGGUUUAUCGUUGAUAACUUUGAUGGCAACCAUCUUCAAACAAAACAAGUAUUCUCCUGCCUAAUUACUUUAAUGUUGAAGGAAAUGAGAAAUCUUGAACAGUUGUUUCAAGAUGCAUCUAUCAAAUCUCUCCCAGUGUUACAAGAGCUAAGUAUAGAAACUUGUCUUGAAUUGAGAAAUUGCAUCUUCACCAACGCCACUGUUACAAGCCUACCAAAGUUGAGGGAACUUCGUAUAUGUGAUUGCGGCAAAGUGAAAUGGCUAUUCCCUUAUUCUCUUGCUUGCCAUUGUCCUUCACUAGAGGAAUUGAGAAUACAGGUUGCUCUGAACUUGAGAGGCUCAUCGGUGGAGAUGAUGAUGAAGACUUACCAUAUGAGGAUCAACUACUACACCCAGGGCAGUCCUUUUAUGAUAUGCAAGGUUUUUCAUACGGGAAUGGAAGUGAGACAGCAUAUAUGGGGGUUAUUACAACAAGCUUCGAGCAGUUGCAGAAUUAGAAGCCCUUGACCCUUUUCCAAAGUCUAAAAUUUCUACAAAUUAUGAGUUGUGAAAGAAUGCAAGGUAUAUUUGAAGUGCAAGUGAGUGGAACUGGAGAAGCACAAGAUCCUAAUUCGAUGCUCAUUUUAAAGUUGUGUGAAUUAACAUUGAAAGAUCUAGCAGAGUUGGAAUAUAUUUGGAAGGGCCCCACACAAAUUGUGAGCCUCCAUAGACUUGAAAGAGUUGAUUUGUGAGAUUGUCCAAGAUUAAAAAGUAUCUUCUCUCUUACUAUCCUUACAAGCCUCCCAGAGUUGAGAUAACUUGCAGUAAUUAAAUGCAAGGAAUGGGAGGGAAUAUUUUGUGAAAAAUCACUUAAGAACCUUUCAUCUUCUUCUUUUGAUGUUUGCUUCCCCAAACUUAGAAAGAUUGAGAUAGACUGUUGCAAU